RNAcentral lists this long non-coding RNA (309 nucleotides) under Triticum aestivum (bread wheat). RNAcentral describes it as "long non-coding RNA (TAES_LNC010011)". Lineage: Eukaryota; Viridiplantae; Streptophyta; Magnoliopsida; Poales; Poaceae. The record is from RNAcentral.
UUCGUGGUCACCUCCGACGGGUCCGUCCUGGCGAAGCUCAACCCUUACCUCGAGGCCGGCAAGGUGAAGCCGGUGGUCGACCCCAAGGGGCCCUUCCCCUUCUCCCAGGUCGUGGAGGCGUUUUCCUACCUCGAGACCGGGCGAGCCACCGGCAAAGUAGUCAUCUCACCUGUUCCAUGAGACACUUCUGUAAAUAGCUAGCACAAGUGAUGUGUUUUUGUCAGAGUUUACUGAGCAAAUAUUUGUUGGAUCGUGCGUAUAAACAGAAAAAUAUGUGAUGUUAUCAGAGAUGGCAGUAGGUUCCUGGCG